GACGAACGCUGGCGGCGUGCUUAACACAUGCAAGUCGAACGGAAAGGCCCUGCUUUUGUGGGGUGCUCGAUUGGCGAACGGGUGAGUAACACGUGAGUAACCUGCCCUUGACUUUGGGAUAACUUCAGGAAACUGGGGCUAAUACCGGAUAGGAGCUCCUGCUGCAUGGUGGGGGUUGGAAAGUUUCGGCGGUUGGGGAUGGACUCGCGGCUUAUCAGCUUGUUGGUGGGGUAGUGGCUUACCAAGGCUUUGACGGGUAGCCGGCCUGAGAGGGUGACCGGCCACAUUGGGACUGAGAGACGGACCAGAAGCCAACGGGAGGCAGCAGUGGGGAAUAUUGCACAAUGGGCGGAAGCGUGAUGCAGCAACGCCGGGUGCGGGAUGACGGCCUUUGGGUUGUAAACCGAUUUCGCCUGUGACGAAGCGUGAGUGACGGUAAUGGGUAAAGAAGCACCGGCUAACUACGUG
RNAcentral lists this ribosomal RNA (468 nucleotides) under uncultured bacterium. RNAcentral's name for it is "partial 16S ribosomal RNA". It matches the Rfam family "Bacterial small subunit ribosomal RNA", at positions 28 to 507 of the family's 1533-position model. The record is from RNAcentral.